This is a non-coding RNA of Phascolarctos cinereus (koala), 236 nucleotides long. The record is from RefSeq and is a predicted model, not a curated record. Lineage: Eukaryota; Metazoa; Chordata; Mammalia; Diprotodontia; Phascolarctidae.
GCCUCUGGUUUUAUUGCUGUUUUAAAUGAACCUGCCUUAGGCUGGACAUGGUGGUGGCUGUGGCAGGUGGCCAAUUGUGAUUAUAAAAGAAUACCUAUAUGUAAGUGUAUGACUCCCCACAGGGAGGAAAUGAAGAAGGAAGGAAGGAGAGAAGGAAGAAGCAUUGUCCAACUGGAACUGAACAGUUGGGUCCCGGAUUGUGAACAGAAGGAUUUUCUCUUCACUGCCACUACAAG